GACGAACGCUGGCGGCGUGCUUAACACAUGCAAGUCGAACGGAAAGGCCCUGCUUUUGUGGGGUGCUCGAGUGGCGAACGGGUGAGUAACACGUGAGUAACCUGCCCUUGACUUUGGGAUAACUUCAGGAAACUGGGGCUAAUACCGGAUAGGAGCUCCUGCUGCAUGGUGGGGGUUGGAAAGUUUCGGCGGUUGGGGAUGGACUCGCGGCUUAUCAGCUUGUUGGUGGGGUAGUGGCUUACCAAGGCUUUGACGGGUAGCCGGCCUGCGAGGGUGACCGGCCAAAUUGGGCCGGAAAUGCGGCCCAGACUCCUACGGGAGGCAGCAGUGGGGAAUAGUGCACAAUGGGCGGAAGCCUGAUGCAGCAACGCCGCGUGGGGGAUGACGGCCUUCGGGUUGUAAACCGCUUUCGCCUGUGACGAAGCGUGAGUGACGGUAAUGGGUAAAGAAGCACCGGCUAACUACGUG
RNAcentral lists this ribosomal RNA (468 nucleotides) under uncultured bacterium. Its description in RNAcentral is "partial 16S ribosomal RNA". It matches the Rfam family "Bacterial small subunit ribosomal RNA", at positions 28 to 507 of the family's 1533-position model. The record is from RNAcentral.